This 365-nucleotide ribosomal RNA is filed under the name Klebsiella pneumoniae. RNAcentral's name for it is "bacterial SSU rRNA". It matches the Rfam family "Bacterial small subunit ribosomal RNA", at positions 602 to 968 of the family's 1533-position model. The record is from RNAcentral. Lineage: Bacteria; Pseudomonadati; Pseudomonadota; Gammaproteobacteria; Enterobacterales; Enterobacteriaceae.
CCCGGGCUCAACCUGGGAACUGCAUUCGAAACUGGCAGGCUAGAGUCUUGUAGAGGGGGGUAGAAUUCCAGGUGUAGCGGUGAAAUGCGUAGAGAUCUGGAGGAAUACCGGUGGCGAAGGCGGCCCCUGGACAAAGACUGACGCUCAGGUGCGAAAGCGUGGGGAGCAAACAGGAUUAGAUACCCUGGUAGUCCACGCUGUAAACGAUGUCGAUUUGGAGGUUGUGCCCUUGAGGCGUGGCUUCCGGAGCUAACGCGUUAAAUCGACGCCUGGGGAGUACGGCCGCAAGGUUAAAACUCAAAUGAAUUGACGGGGGCCCGCACAAGCGGUGGAGCAUGUGGUUUAAUUCGAUGCAACGCGAAGAA